CCUUGAAAAGAAGUCAGCAGCCGCACUCUUUCAUCUUCCCCAAUUGGAAAUCCGGCGGUGAAACAUGAGCGUUGCUCCCCUCCCUCGAUUUCUUUACUUCUGAUUAGCCCUACCCUCGUCUCUCUCUUCGUGUCUCAUUCAUCGGCGGAGCAAUAGAACAACAAGGGAACGGCGGUGGCGGUCAGUUUGGUGUAGCGAAGCUUCCUCCUCUGGCGGUGAUCUCUGGCUCCGACCUCUGUUUUCCGGCGAGGCAAAACAGUGGCGGUGGUGCUACAUAGGUUCUGUUGAAGUGACUAACUUAUAAGUUGAGCCUAGAUUGGGUGUUGGCUUUGAGAGCUUAGCUUGAGGUAAGUUCUUAUGUCCGUUUAAAUUACUUUGCCCUAUUAAAUGUGCUACUUAUUUGAGUUGUGUACUUACAUUAUUUUAAAAAUGUGUUCUAGUUUCAAAAUGUGAUAAAUAGUAAAAUAUGGUUAUUUUGGGGUU
This is a long non-coding RNA of Ipomoea nil (Japanese morning glory), 483 nucleotides long. RefSeq lists it as uncharacterized. Lineage: Eukaryota; Viridiplantae; Streptophyta; Magnoliopsida; Solanales; Convolvulaceae. The record is from RefSeq and is a predicted model, not a curated record. The transcript is spliced from 2 exons.